UGCUUGGGACAAUCCUGCCUCUUUAUGGUC
This 30-nucleotide non-coding RNA is filed under the name Homo sapiens (human). The record is from RNAcentral. Lineage: Eukaryota; Metazoa; Chordata; Mammalia; Primates; Hominidae.